UGACAUAGGUAAGCCCACAUGAGGCCAGGCUUGUCUCGUCAGAUCUCAGAUGGUAAGCAGGGCUGGGCUUGGUUAGUACUUGGAUUGGAGACUGCUGGGAAAAUCAGAUGUCAC
RNAcentral lists this ribosomal RNA (114 nucleotides) under Periophthalmus magnuspinnatus. The record is from RNAcentral. Lineage: Eukaryota; Metazoa; Chordata; Actinopteri; Gobiiformes; Gobiidae.